UACAGAGGUCUCAAGCGUUGUUCGGAUUCAUUGGGCGUAAAGGGUGCGUAGGUGGCGCUGUAAGUCGGGUGUGAAAUUUCGGAGCUUAACUCCGAAACUGCAUUCGAUACUGCGGUGCUUGAGGACUGGAGAGGAGACUGGAAUUCAUGGUGUAGCAGUGAAAUGCGUAGAGAUCAUGAGGAAGACCAGUGGCGAAGGCGGGUCUCUGGACAGUUCCUGACACUGAGGCACGAAGGCGUGGGGAGCAAACAGG
This 253-nucleotide ribosomal RNA is filed under the name uncultured bacterium. RNAcentral's name for it is "partial 16S ribosomal RNA". It matches the Rfam family "Bacterial small subunit ribosomal RNA", at positions 524 to 776 of the family's 1533-position model. The record is from RNAcentral.